GAGGAUGUAGGAGUCCGUGAGGAUGGAGAGGGUGUAGGAGACGAUGAGACUGGAGAGGGUGUAGGAGACAGUUAGACUGGAGAGGGUGUAGUAGACAGUGGGCUGGAGAGGGUGUAGGAGACAGUCAGGAUGGACAGGGUGUAGUAGACAGUGAGACUGGAGAGGGUGUAGGAGACAGUGAGGUUGGAGAGGGUGUAGGAGUCCGUGAGGAUGGAGAGGGUGUAGGAGACGGUGAGGAUGGAGAGGGUGUAGGAGACAGUGAGACUGGAGUGGGUGUAGGAGACAGUGAGGUUGGAGAGGAUGUAGGAGUCCGUGAGGAUGGAGAGGGUGUAGGAGACGGUGAGGCUGGAGAGGGUGUAGGAGACAGUGAGACUGGAGAGGGUGUAGGAGACAGUGAGACUGGAGAGGGUGUAGGAGACAGUGAGACUGGAGAGGGUGUAGGAGACAGUGAGGCUGGAGAGGGUGUCGGAGACAGUGAGUCUGGAGAGGGUGUAGAGACAGUGAGACUGGAGAGGGUGUAGGAGACAGUGAGGCUGGAGAGGGUUUAGGAGACAGUGAGACUGGAGAGGGUGUAGGAGACAGUGAGGAUGGAGAG
Long non-coding RNA from Oncorhynchus tshawytscha (Chinook salmon), 595 nucleotides. NCBI's taxonomy places the organism in Eukaryota, Metazoa, Chordata, Actinopteri, Salmoniformes, Salmonidae. The record is from Ensembl.